RNAcentral lists this non-coding RNA (21 nucleotides) under Arabidopsis thaliana (thale cress). Lineage: Eukaryota; Viridiplantae; Streptophyta; Magnoliopsida; Brassicales; Brassicaceae. The record is from RNAcentral.
CCGCUGGUUUACCAGUCAUAA